UUGCAUGAAACAAUGUGGAGUUUAAAGUGUUUUAAAGCCAAAUACUGGUCGAGAAGAUUUAGUUGAUUGUUGAUGUGUCAUAACAUCUGUCUUGACUCGGGAAGCUCCUUCACUUCUUAACUGAAAACUUCUCCUCAGAGCGAAAUGGGGCCGAGGAGAAGAUUCAUCAUCAUCCUCGUACAGAGAAGAUUGUUCGGGUUCCGCACCCUGCAGAGUGGAACAAAUGGAACAGUGUGCUGGCUUCUGAUUGGCUGAUGUGUUGUGAGUUGUUUCAUCACCCGCCCCUCACGCUUUGCAUUGCGGGUCACAGUAUUUCAUAAAAUAUAGUGUUUCUAUAAAGCAUCGUGACAGAUAUCACGGAUACCCAAAAACUAAAUAUUAUAAAUAGAGUUUGAAACGCAACGAAUAUUUAUCCAGAAUAUUAUUUUUUGCACACAUGUAUUGGAAACAUGACUGUGAUCUUAUUUUCAAAUAUUUUAUUAAAAUAUUUGGGAAAAAAGUUCAAUUUAGGUAAAGCAUGCAUGCACACAAUAAAAUAGCGAAGAUUUGCAUGAAACAAUGUGGAGUUUAAAGUGUUUUAAAGCCAAAUACUGGUCCAGAAGAUUUAGUUGAUCGUUGAUGUGUCAUAACAUCUGUCUUGACUCGGGAAGCUCCUUCACUUCUUAACUGAAAACUUCUCCUCAGAGCGAAAUGUAAGUUAUUUUAUCUUCAUCUUUCACUGUUUGUGUAAAACCUCGUAGUUGUUUCUGUUCUUGUGGACGCGCAUCUGAUGCUGUGAGGGGCGACCAAGGCUCGUGAACCUCAGGCUCUGUAUUUUGUUGCCACCUAAAGUAGAACAUAUAUUAUACUAACACAUCUACAAAUAUAUUUCUCUAUUUACAUGUUUUAUUAUAUGUAUUAUACAUUAUAAACCGAAAGGACACAUCGAUUCAAUCACAGGUCAGUAAUCUAAUGUUAUAGCGCCAUCUGGAGACCGUCAAAUCUUUAAGCAGAUAUUUUAUCUGAGGUUUUUAACCAGGUUAAGCAGGUCAAACAGGUUCUCCUGGUGUAUUUUGCCAUAAGAAUUCAUUUCCAAAUAAAAACACUUUAAACCAUUAUUAGAAAAAAGUCAUUUUGAACAAUAAAUAUACUGAAAAAAACAUCGAGGGCGUUCAAGACAUUAAUGGACAACUUUCAGUUUGUGCACCAGGGGGCGCCAGAGGAUCACACAUUAUGUUGAACCCAUUAAAUAGUCCCACAGAAUUAUUUAAAAUGCAAAUCUUUCAUUUUUUAUAAAGGGGAAAUGACAAGUUUAUUGGUCAAGUAUACUUUGCACAUACACACAUAAAUAUUUAGUAAGUCAAGUGCUUUUAUGUCUCUCUGCUUGUCUGUUUGACUUGUAUUCAUGUAUUGAAACCUUAAUGCUCUUUUAAAGAGAUAAAAUGCUAAAAGGUGAGAAUUUGACGUUAUGGUUCAACACACAGACCUUAAAUCAUGAAAUGAGUCUUAGAAAUGUGCACAGCUGAUGUCAUUUUCAGUUAAAACUCAUUUAUAAUAAAGAAUUUGAUUAAAAUGACGAAUUAAAGUAUAAAUAAAGGACAAAAAUGAGGAACGCUUCACGAAUUUGCGUGUCAUCCUUGCGCAGGGGCCAUGCUAAUCUUCUCUGUAUCGUUCCAAUUUUAGUAUAUGUGCUGCCGAAGCAAGCACGAACAAGCAGCUGGACUGCUGGGUAUUUAUACCACGGUGCUUCAGCAAGUCUUCUAAUAGAUGGUAAGCGGACAAACCACAUGUACUUGUCUUUGGCUUUCACAUUCCUGAUACAAACCUGUUACACACUCCAUAACAAAUCCAAGCCUCACAUUAAUCAUUAAACCUUUAAAAACAAGAUAUUUAGUGUAAACUAUGUCUGUCUGCCCAGGAACGGGCAAACAUGCAGAUCAGAAGGUCCUCAGACAAACAGGAUUGGCUCACGGUGGUGACUUCCCGAAGCUUUGUUCUCUGUCCCCUCCCCCGUCAACAUCGAAUAAACAUAGAGUUGAGUUGUGAUGGUGAGAGAUCCUGUCUGAACGUCCACCUGGGGCCCGUUUCAAUAAGGAGGUUCAACCACCGAGUUAAAGUCUCAAGUCUACUUUAUUUAUAGAGCCCUUUCCACUACAAAGUAGACCAAAGGACUGUACAACCAGUACUAGUGUUGUAAAAAUAUAACGCAUGACGUGUGCGGUUGACAAAUGCGACUCCCUGAAAAACAAACUAAAUCCUGGCAAGGACGCAUCCGGGAGAAAGGUCUCAUCUGGUCCCCUAUCUAACAUUAACUUUGUGAAUGUAAAGUCUGACCCAUUGGUUCUGGCCCGCGAGAUCCACUUUCCUGCCGAUUUUAGCACCAACCCGGAUUAAACACCCGAAGAUGCUGAUCAGUUACUACAGGAACAGAUGCGUUCACCAUAAAGUUGGGUUGCGCAGAUUGUUUGAAUCUAGAAAGUGACAAAUGUGCUGAAUUAUAGACAGUGAGACAUGUCCUUUGAGUGUGUUUAAAUAAGCGUGUUUGGUUUGUGUUUCUUCCUUCCAAAUCUAAGUAGGCCUACUCUCCACACUUCAGAUAAGUACGUGGCAUUAAUAAACCAGAAGAUCUCGCGGGCCAGAGUUGGGAACCAAUGGUCUAACCUGACGUUACCUAACUAGCCGGCUAAUUUUAGCCUAUUCAAUAUUCAUGAAAUCAAAUGUUGGAAUAGUGGUAAAUUAUAUACAUACCUCGUUCAAACACGCAACCACAUUUCCUCGUCAGUUCGUGAGAAGCGUUCAAGAACACCGCCCAAAAUGUACCCGCAGAGAAAGAAGAUCCAGAACCAUCUUCUCUGUCUGCAAAAGAUCCAGAACAAUAUUGGGUCACUGCCCCAACACCUGUGUAUAAUUAAGGGUGGAGGAGAAAAAGAAGGCAGAAAAACUGAAGAACUUGGAAAAAAUGCAGCAUGCUACAAUGCAAAGGCUUUUUGCUUUUGCAACUGCAGAGAAAGUGUAAAAAAAGGCCAAAUUCUGUAAACCUUACUGGGCUCCUGUUAUUUCUGCAGAGGAAAGUGAGACAAGGAGACGUUUUAGAGAAAGUUAAGAGAUCAAAAGAUCUGCAGCCUCAGAGAAAAAAACAAAAAGGAACAAAUUCAGAAACUCUCAAUGGCCUGAUGUGCGGAGACGUCCAGCUAAACCAGGUUUACCCCAAACUGCUUCACAGGCUGUGCUGCCUCCACAUCCCUCUGUGGUUGAGGAAGCUCUUAAACGGGUGCCAAGGGCCACUGCAUGGAGGCGAAAGAAAAGAGCCGAAGAAGAGAGAAGGGACUCGCAGAAUGGGAAGAGGCCAGCAAGACUCAGAGAUCCCUAGGGACUCCCAUGUAGUUUGUGUGGUCAGCCAAAUAGACUUAGUUUUUUACAAGGGAAAGAGUUUCUGUGCCACUGCAGUAGGCAGAAGUGUUUCUGAAAGACUCCCGAAGCAGAAAAGGGGUGCAUGGUACAGACAUUGCUUAGGAUGUUCCUCAAACCACUGCCUGGCUAAAAAAGAAAGCUAUUGAGGAAGGAAAUCCAAUCAAGAACAGCAAGGUUUCCAAAAUUUUUACUUGUCAACUUUGGCAUCAGCCGAAGACAAAAGAAUAUGGACAUUCUCAGUACAAGGGUAAAUAUGAGGUGACAUAUGAGGGUAAAACAGUAGAGCUAAACAUAACUCACGAGGGGGAAAACAGGACAAGAUAAACUAAUUACCAGAACAAGGACACAGACUGACUAGACUAAGAAAACAAACACUAAACUACACUUACAAGACACGAUGAAACAGGAACUUUGCAUGACAAGGUAACUAGCAACAGCAUACACAUACAGACAAUGACCAAGACAAGACAAAGAAACAUGAGGACUCUUUAAAGGGAACAAACACAGGAUAAUUCAUGAGGACCUGGUGAUAGGGAUGAACACUCAAGGAAAGCUUACGAGAAAACGAGAUGGCGGGAACAAAGACACAGACCAGAGGGAGAGUAUAGCAAGCCGUUAGGAUCACUAUCUCUCCCUCCACGUACAACCUUGGGCUAUGCCAUGACUGCGCUGCAAGAACAAGAAUAAACAUGACAUGAUAGCGGAAUCAUGACACCUGUGGCAUCUGCAUCAUCUUCCCAACAUGUUCGGCAUCCCUCACACCGAGCUUCUUGUUAGAUUUAAUUUCCGCAUAAAUGAAUAUACACAUGCAAACUAAUGAAUUGUGAGGUUGUUAAGCUCACUGAAUACAUUCCUGGCUAGAUAGUUGGAUGAAGGGUUUCCCUCUGGCCAUAUGGGGGGGGAUUAUUCUAAGCUAAACAUUCUUUGUCUUAUGUGCUUUAUCUUAUUUGGUCAUUCUGUUAACCCCUGGACAUUUGAAACCAUCCAGAGGUCUUUUGUUACCUUUAUAAAGGCUGAAAUAAAAUAAAUGAGUUAAAAGC
Long non-coding RNA from Triplophysa dalaica, 4430 nucleotides. RefSeq lists it as uncharacterized. The transcript has 3 exons. Lineage: Eukaryota; Metazoa; Chordata; Actinopteri; Cypriniformes; Nemacheilidae. The record is from RefSeq and is a predicted model, not a curated record.